UACAGAGGGGGCAAGCGUUGUUCGGAAUUACUGGGCGUAAAGGGCGCGUAGGCGGCCCGCUAAGUCGAACGUGAAAUCCCCAGGCUUAACCUGGGAACUGCGUCCGAUACUGGCAGGCUUGAAUCCGGGAGAGGGAUGUGGAAUUCCAGGUGUAGCGGUGAAAUGCGUAGAUAUCUGGAGGAACACCGGUGGCGAAGGCGGCAUCCUGGACCGGCAUUGACGCUGAGGCGCGAAAGCUAGGGGAGCAAACGGGG
This 254-nucleotide ribosomal RNA is filed under the name uncultured bacterium. RNAcentral describes it as "partial 16S ribosomal RNA". It matches the Rfam family "Bacterial small subunit ribosomal RNA", at positions 524 to 777 of the family's 1533-position model. The record is from RNAcentral.